UUUCACCAACUAUGUAACCUGUCUACCCUGUUUCAAUAUAUUUAAAUAUGUUGCCAAUUUACCAAGAUCAGUUUAAUUUCUUUAACGAAUGUGGUAGUUACUUUGUUAUCAUGUGUGAGUGAAAUAAUUGAAGGCCAGUCUUCUUGAACUACUAUAAGAAGCCUUGGACAGAACAAUCCUUUUAUGGUUUAUCCUGAUUAACUUACUAGGGGUCUUAUUUAACAGCACUAGUUAAUUAUUUAUGUGAAGAAAUUGAUUACAUGAUGCCAUUAAUGAGUUUUGGGACGACUAAUCAAAUGGCAGCAUGACCCUGAAACAUGUUUGUGUAUCCGAUAUUUUCUUAGGAGUAUUGUGAAGGGCAGUCAGUGGUAGAACUAAAUCGCAUAAAUCAUGUAGUUUUCUACUUUUGAGAGGAAAAUCACAAAAAUUGCAUCGUUGAAGAAUUUCAGUUUGCUCUUUGUUGGUCUUUUGUUGGUGGGUGGCUGUUUUUCAAGUUUCUUUGGUAGUUUUGUAGGAGUCUUUGAUUUCAGUAGCUGAAGAAGGUUUGUUUGUCAAAGUUGUUUCAAAGUUUAUCUCUAUUUGGUGGGUCAGGCGGGUUGUCCAGUGAGAUUUGUUGAGGUGCAAGUAAGCUGGUCCGGACACUCAUGGAUAUUAAAAAAAAAAAAAA
Long non-coding RNA from Cucumis sativus (cucumber), 667 nucleotides. RefSeq lists it as uncharacterized. NCBI's taxonomy places the organism in Eukaryota, Viridiplantae, Streptophyta, Magnoliopsida, Cucurbitales, Cucurbitaceae. The record is from RefSeq and is a predicted model, not a curated record. The transcript has 2 exons.